Long non-coding RNA from Trifolium pratense (red clover), 2293 nucleotides. RefSeq lists it as uncharacterized. Lineage: Eukaryota; Viridiplantae; Streptophyta; Magnoliopsida; Fabales; Fabaceae. The transcript is spliced from 11 exons. The record is from RefSeq and is a predicted model, not a curated record.
GCAGCCGUCAGUUUCAAAACUUGCGUGUUUGCUAUUCUCUCUCCUUCCUACCUCUUCUGGUUUAUGUUUCCUCUUCUUAUCUUUUCCUUUUUCUUCUUUUUGCUUCAUCUAAUAUAUGUAUGCAUAUAAAACACCAAAUGGAGGUGAAUAAUUCAGACAGCAGUCUCUUCGAAGCAUCCAUGAGAGCCUCUCGUAGUGAUAUGUAUUGAGACAGUUUCAAUAUAUAUUAUUCUUAAACAAAGAUAAGUACUAAAAACCUUCAGAUCUAUCACUAAAAUUCUUCUUAAACUUCUUGAUACUAAUAUUUUUGUUGUUAUGUUGCAGGUACGGUGAUAAGAUUCUAUGUACACACAGAUCGACCUUGGAUCUAAACGUUUUCUUUAAAGUUUUCAUUUUUAGAUCUAAAGUUUUCUGCAAAGGUGUCAAAUCGGACCUUUUGUCAAAGUUUUCUGGCGGUGUUUCCAAACAACUUCAUGGAGUGGCCACUGAUAUAGACACAUUGGAUAUCACCAGGUUCUUACAAAUGGUAUUGAAGUGAAGCUACAAAGGAAUGCUCUUAGUGUGCUUGAAGCACCUACUGGUAAUGAAGAAGAUGAUGACCUCGAAUUUGAUAAUGUGCGAUGGAAUAAUGGAUCAGAUAUGGCAAAGAAGACGAAGAGAAAAUAUGAAGGGUUGAAUUAUAAAUUCUAUUUCUGUUAACUAUGAUGUUUUCUACAUGAUUUAUAAGAGCCACUAGCUACUUCUGUCAUUCAACAAGAUUAACCAAGUUGGAGGACAAAGAACACAAGCGUGUGAUGGAUGGAACUAAAGAGGAGAAAUACAUGGAAAAUUCAUUCAAGAACUUGACCUUGGUGACUGCAAAAUGUUGUUUUCUCCUAUAUUAAAAAAGUGUGUGUACUUGAUCAACUGUUUGCUAAUUUGCUUUGGUAUCGUGUGGUGAAGAAUAAUUAAAGCCAUAUGUUAAUUCUACUAACAACUGAAAGUUGUAUGCUUUGUGGGAUGAUUCUAAGGAUUUAUGCCUAUGUUUCUCUGUUGAUUGCAAAAGGCUUUAUGCCAGUUUUUAGAUUCUAAGGAUUAUAGAGUAUAGUCAUUUGAUGAGUGAUCAACUGGAAUUUUUCUUUUCGAUUGAAGUUAUUUCCUUUUGUUUCUCUAAAGUCAAUUAGUGUAUUAAGUGAAUGAUGUAGGAAACUCAUACUUAUUUGCUAUUGGGAUGCUCUUGAGUUGACUGGGUGCAUGAGUUUGUGGUGACUAGUUUAUUACUUUUCAACAGGAGUGUUAGAGAUUCAAGAAGUUUGUUGUAGUCCUAUAUCAAUUUGGAUUGGUGUGUUCUAGCUUUUUGUUAGUUGAUCUGCUAGAAAUAAAUGCGGCUUUUGAGUUAGUUUCUUUGAUGUAGCUUGCAAUCUGCAACAAUUAGUAGGCAAUGGCAGUUGGUUUUAAGAUUGGAAUAAGGAGUUGUUCUGUGUGAGCAAAGGAUAAGAAAAGGUUAAAAUGUUUUCGGCACAAAGGAAGUCUGGUGGAGAUUGAAUCAUUAAUGAAGAUAAACAGAGGAUCCUUUGUGAGUGUAUAUUUUGCUCUGUAUGUUUUCAGGUUGUUGACACCAGUCAAACCAAAGACCGGAGGGAGUAUAUGUUAUUACUUACAUUUAGUGUGCUUGGAAUAAGUGCUAUAAUCCAUGAGGGCCUCUCUAGCAAGAAAUCAGAUUGAUAACCUUAAGUUUUAAGAGCUUUAGAUCACAUAUCAUUUUCACUUUUGUGAUCGAGUCUUGGUGUAAGGAACAAAUGGGAGGCUCGCAUUGCACACGUGAGGGAGAUCCACAGUGAGGUGGUGGCAGAACCUACAAAUCUACAGUGAUCGAGCUUGAGCUCUUUUCCUCUAUUUCCUUUAUGCUCUUUAUUUAACCGCCUAUUUUGCAUUUUGAAUUAGUUAUUAAAUAGGGAUUUGAAUCAUUGGAGCAACAAAUUAAGUUUCAAUUGGAGAAACUUUAGGCAACACAAAAACCAACAAUCUAAUACAAAUAUAGUGUGCCACUACACUUAUAGGAACUUUUGUGGAUUCAAGGACUCAUUAGUCUAUUGGAAAUUUAUCCAUGUGGUGUUUACACUUUAUUUGUAAAUCAAACAUGUUUCUGUGUCUCUAAAUUUUGCUUUAUUUGAUUUUUUUCAAAGUACAGGAAUGUAACUGUACUUUAACAUGGAGUGUGUGUAAUUGCAUGGGUCUUGCAAUUGUUAAUUGUAUGAGUGUAACUCAAUUUUGCUGUUAAUAUUGGGAUGUUGUUGCAGUGGACUUUUGCCUA